Molecule: long non-coding RNA, 1005 nt
Organism: Nothobranchius furzeri (turquoise killifish)
Lineage: Eukaryota; Metazoa; Chordata; Actinopteri; Cyprinodontiformes; Nothobranchiidae
Source: RefSeq, a predicted model, not a curated record
CUGUGUAUGUCAGGCCUCGCCUCUAUCAGCAUGCCCAGGGCAGCUGUGGCUACAUCGUAGCUCAUCACCACCAGUGUGUGAAUGUGUGUGUGAAUGGGUGAAUGAUACACGUAGUGUAAAGCGCUUUGGAGUCCUUACUAUACCAGUGCGGGUCAUUUAUCAUCAUUAUCAUCUAACCCUCCUCUGUAGUUGUUAAAACAGCAGGUCAGCAAAUCCUGAAUUAUCUAAACUACUCUGGUUGCUAUAGUAACCGCUGCUGGUUUGACAUAGCGUAACAUCUGGAAUGAAGACAUCUGGCAGGCUGGAGUUGAUGCCUCCACCUGCAGUUCCUCUGGGUGACGUCAGAGGGCGCCGCUGAGCUGUAACCGGAAGUACAGGCUGCGGGAGAGCGGAUGUAAACAAACCGAAGCGGAGCGGCUUUGGGCUCGUCCGGUUGAGUUGAGGCGCUCAGGAGGAGAUGGAAACGGCCAGCAGACGAACUCUGGACCGGAUGUGUGCUCUGGUCUUGGCGGCCGUGGUGGUCUUGUCCUGGUCCUAUGUCAUCUACGCCAGCAGGACAGCAGCUGAUUGGCUGUUGGAGGGAAGGACUGCCCUCCUGCAGGGCUCCUGACACUACCUGGUACACCUGGGUCAGAACCAUGCCUCCUGCUGAAGAGGGUCCAGUCUAAAGGGACUCCUGGUUCAGAGCAGGUCCAGACCCAUAGCUGUCUCAUGGUCCUGCUGCUGCAGCCCAGAAGGAUCGCAGGUGGCUGAAGAUCCAGACCGUACCUAGAGGUUCUGAUCAGACUGACGUGCUAACGGCUAGGGUGUGUAGGGUCGUCUGACAUCAGAUCAUGACCAGAUUAUAGUUUCCUGCUGAGCUGAGGUGGAAGUCCAGCAGGACUUGGACUAUAACGGAACAGUCCAGCAAUCCUGAUGAUAGAACAUCUGACAACGCUGUGAGAGCAGCUGCUGCUGCAGCUUCAUGAUGUUGUUUAUCAAUAAAUAAACACGAACUGUACAAUG